AGAGUUUGAUCCUGGCUCAGAUUGAACGCUGGCGGCAGGCCUAACACAUGCAAGUCGAGCGGUAACAGGAAUUAGCUUGCUAAUUUGCUGACGAGCGGCGGACGGGUGAGUAAUGCUUGGGAAUAUGCCUUUUGGUGGGGGACAACAGUUGGAAACGACUGCUAAUACCGCAUAAUAUCUACGAGUAGGGGACCUUCGGGCCUUACGCCAAAAGAUUAGCCCAAGUGGGAUUAGCUAGUUGGUGAGGUAAUGGCUCACCAAGGCGACGAUCCCUAGCUGGUCUGAGAGGAUGAUCAGCCACACUGGAACUGAGACACGGUCCAGACUCCUACGGGAGGCAGCAGUGGGGAAUAUUGCACAAUGGGCGCAAGCCUGAUGCAGCCAUGCCGCGUGUGUGAAGAAGGCCUUCGGGUUGUAAAGCACUUUCAGUUGGGAGGAAAAGUUAACGGUUAAUACCCGUUAGCCGUGACGUUACCAACAGAAGAAGCACCGGCUAACUUCGUGCCAGCAGCCGCGGUAAUACGAGGGGUGCAAGCGUUAAUCGGAAUUACUGGGCGUAAAGCGUACGCAGGCGGUUGGUUAAGCGAGAUGUGAAAUCCCCGGGCUCAACCUGGGAACUGCAUUUCGAACUGGCCAACUAGAGUAUGAGAGAGGGUGGUAGAAUUUCAGGUGUAGCGGUGAAAUGCGUAGAUAUCUGAAGGAAUACCGAUGGCGAAGGCAGCCACCUGGUUCAAUACUGACGCUCAUGUACGAAAGCGUGGGGAGCAAACAGGAUUAGAUACCCUGGUAGUCCACGCCGUAAACGAUGUCUACUAGCAGCUCGGGUCAUACGACUGGUUUUGCGCAGCUAACGCGUUAAGUAGACCGCCUGGGGAGUACGGCCGCAAGGUUAAAACUCAAAUGAAUUGACGGGGGCCCGCACAAGCGGUGGAGCAUGUGGUUUAAUUCGAUGCAACGCGAAGAACCUUACCAUCCCUUGACAUCCAGAGAAGAGACUAGAGAUGGGGCUUCCUCUUCGGAGGCUCGGUGACAGGUGCUGCAUGGCUGUCGUCAGCUCGUGUCGUGAGAUGUUGGGUUAAGUCCCGCAACGAGCGCAACCCUUGUCCUUAGUUGCCAGCAGGUUAAGCUGGGCACUCUAGGGAGACUGCCGGUGAUAAGCCGGAGGAAGGUGGGGAUGACGUCAAGUCCUCAUGGCCUUUAUACCUAGGGCUACACACGUGUUACAAUGGGACCUACAGAGGGCUGCGAAACCGCGAGGUGUAGCGAAUCCCUUAAAAGGUCUCCCAGUUCGGAUUGCAGUCUGCAACUCGACUGCAUGAAGUUGGAAUCGCUAGUAAUCGCGGAUCAGAACGCCGCGGUGAAUACGUUCCCGGGCCUUGUACACACCGCCCGUCACACCAUGGGAGUUGACAGGGGCAGAAGUCGUUGAGCCAACCUUCGGGAGGCAGACGCCCAAGCUCUUGUCGAUGACUGGGGUGAAGUCGUAACAAGGUAACC
RNAcentral lists this ribosomal RNA (1497 nucleotides) under uncultured prokaryote. RNAcentral describes it as "partial 16S ribosomal RNA". It matches the Rfam family "Bacterial small subunit ribosomal RNA". The record is from RNAcentral.